Molecule: unclassified non-coding RNA, 298 nt
Filed under: Melitaea cinxia (Glanville fritillary)
Lineage: Eukaryota; Metazoa; Arthropoda; Insecta; Lepidoptera; Nymphalidae
Description: misc RNA ENSMCXG00005014853.1
Source: RNAcentral
AUCUCAAAGUAGGUCAUCUUUUCGUAGUGAAUGCAGGCUGGGCUGGCUUUGUCACUCCGAAGACGCUGCUGCAAGUCUUUGACCUGUGUAUUUCAAAGCCAGCAGUUAGAUGGUUAUCCCGCUAUCGGUCGGCUUUUUAAGUUCCAAGGUGGUAGUGGGACUGUGUUACCCCUUAGUCGCCUCUUACGACGGCCACGGGAAGAAAGGGGGUGGCUAUAUUCUAUACUGCCGUAGCCACUCAGCAUUAGUAGUUUUGCAUACAGAAGUAAAUUAUAUUGAUUUUGACGUUUAAAUGUUG